Molecule: transfer RNA, 73 nt
Filed under: Ailuropoda melanoleuca (giant panda)
Lineage: Eukaryota; Metazoa; Chordata; Mammalia; Carnivora; Ursidae
Rfam family: tRNA
About the family: Transfer RNA (tRNA) molecules are approximately 80 nucleotides in length. Their secondary structure includes four short double-helical elements and three loops (D, anti-codon, and T loops).
Source: Rfam by way of RNAcentral
GCCUGGCUGGCUCGGUUGAUAGAGCUUGUGACUUUUAAUCUCAGGGGCAUGAGUUUAAGCCCCAAGUUGGGCC